RNAcentral lists this ribosomal RNA (397 nucleotides) under uncultured bacterium. RNAcentral's name for it is "partial 16S ribosomal RNA". It matches the Rfam family "Bacterial small subunit ribosomal RNA", at positions 523 to 918 of the family's 1533-position model. The record is from RNAcentral.
AUACGUAGGGGGCGAGCGUUGUCCGGAAUUACUGGGCGUGAAGGGUGCGUAGGUGGCACUUUAAGUUGGAUGUGAAAUCCCCGUGCUUAACAUGGGAGCUGCAUCCAAUACUGGAGAGCUAGAGUGCAGGAGAGGUAAGCGGAAUUCCUAGUGUAGCGGUGAAAUGCGUAGAUAUUAGGAGGAACACCAGUGGCGAAGGCGGCUUACUGGACUGUAACUGACACUGAGGCACGAAAGCGUGGGGAGCAAACAGGAUUAGAUACCCUGGUAGUCCACGCUGUAAACGAUGAAUACUAGGUGUAGGGGGUAUCAACUCCCUCUGUGCCGCAGCAAACGCAAUAAGUAUUCCGCCUGGGGGGUACGGCCGCAAGGUUGAAACUAAAAGGAAUUGGCGGGG